Molecule: ribosomal RNA, 1235 nt
Filed under: metagenome
Description: bacterial LSU rRNA
Rfam family: Bacterial large subunit ribosomal RNA
Source: RNAcentral
UGAAUACGAGAUGCUACGGCGUCGAAGCAGUCUAUGUCAUACUUCCAAGAAAAGCUCGCACUGUCAUAAACAAAUAAUGCCUGUACCAUAACCGACACAGGUGGGUAGGUAGAGUAUACUAAGGGGCGCGAGAUAACUCUCUCUAAGGAACUCGGCAAAAUGACUCCGUAACUUCGGGAGAAGGAGUGCCUUAUUUAUAAGGUUGCAAUAACAAGAUCCAAGCAACUGUUUAUCAAAAACACAGGUCUCCGCUAAGUCGUAAGACGAUGUAUGGGGGCUGACGCCUGCCCAGUGCCAGAAGGUUAAAGAAGUUGGUUAGCAUUCGCGAAGCUGAUAACUGAAGCCCUGGUGAACGGCGGCCGUAACUAUAACGGUCCUAAGGUAGCGAAAUUCCUUGUCGGGUAAGUUCCGACCCGCACGAAAGGCGUAAUGAUUUGGAUACUGUCUCGGAGAGGGGCUCGGUGAAAUAGACUUGUCUGUGAAGAUGCGGACUACCUGCACCAGGACAGAAAGACCCUAUGAAGCUUUACUGUAACUUGAGAUCGAAAUUGGACUUUACUUGCGCAGUAUAGGUGGGAGGCGUUGAUAAUAUUCUUGCGGGAUUAUUUGAGCCAUCAGUGAGAUACCACUCUUGUAAUGUUAGAUUUCUAACUUUGUAUCAUUAUCUGGUCAAAGGACAGUUUCAGGCGGGCAGUUUGACUGGGGCGGUCGCCUCCUAAACGGUAACGGAGGCGCACAAAGGUUUCCUCUGAACGGGUAGAAAUCGUAUCUAGAGUGUAAAGGCAUAAGGAAGCUUGACUGUGAGACCUACAAGUCGAGCAGGGACGAAAGUCGGUCUUAGUGAUCUGACGGUGCUGAGUGGAAAGGCCGUCACUCAACGGAUAAGAGUUACUCUAGGGAUAACAGGCUGAUCUCCCCCAAGAGUUCACAUCGACGGGGAGGUUUGGCACCUCGAUGUCGGCUCAUCGCAUCCUGGCGCGGUAGUACGUCCCAAGGGUUGGGCUGUUCGCCCAUGAAAGCGGUACGCGAGCUGGGUUCAGAACGUCGUGAGACAGUUCGGUCCAUAUCCGGUGUAGGCGUUAGAAUAUUGAGAGGAGCCUUCUUUAGUACGAGAGGACCGAGAAGGACAUACCUCUGGUGUACCAGUUAUCGUGCCAACGGUAAACGCUGGGUAGCUAUGUAUGGAGUGGAUAACCGCUGAAAGCAUCUAAGUGGGAAGCCCACCUCAAGAUAAG